GUAGGUGGCAAGCGUUGUCCGGAAUUAUUGGGCGUAAAGCGCGCGCAGGUGGUUCGUUUAAGUCUGAUGUGAAAGACCCCCGGGCUCAACCGGGGAGGGUCAUUGGAAACUGGGGAACUUGAGUGCAGGAGAGGAAAGUGGAAUUCCACGUGUAGCGGUGAAAUGCGUAGAUAUGUGAAGGAACACCAGUGGCGAAGGCGACUUUCUGGCCUGUAACUGACACUGAGGCGCGAAAGCGUGGGGAGCAAACAGGAUUAGAUACCCUGGUAGUCCACGCCGUAAACGAUGAGUGCUAAGUGUUGGGGGGUUUCCGCCCCUCAGUGCUGCAGCUAACGCAUUAAGCACUCCGCCUGGGGAGUACGGUCGCAAAGACUG
Molecule: ribosomal RNA, 375 nt
Filed under: uncultured organism
Description: partial 16S ribosomal RNA
Rfam family: Bacterial small subunit ribosomal RNA
Source: RNAcentral